Long non-coding RNA from Sorghum bicolor (sorghum), 1433 nucleotides. RefSeq lists it as uncharacterized. The transcript is spliced from 4 exons. The record is from RefSeq and is a predicted model, not a curated record. Lineage: Eukaryota; Viridiplantae; Streptophyta; Magnoliopsida; Poales; Poaceae.
UAUUAAAUUGGACAGGCAUGGUUCAGGGAAGUUAUAGAAGAAGAGUCCUCGAUGGCCUCUUCCCUUGAGCAAGUGCUUCAAUGCAAUUCUGAAGGGGAGUUCCUUGAGCUUGUGACUAUGGCCUUGGAUUUUUGCCACUGAACUGAAUAUUGAAAUAUGAAUUGGCAAGAAGGAAAUCAAGGGUAGCAAAAGAAGGUCGCCAAGAGCUUUGUUCUAUGUUUAGAGUUCAAUAUCACUAACUGAAAAUAUUUGAAAAUGUUAUUAAUUCAUAGCUACCUUGUGAGGUUAUGAUGAGUGAAUGCUUAUCUCCCUUUUUGCAAACUGAAAGCUAUUACUUAGUGGUGCAUGCUGUUGUAGUUCUGCACAUUCUGAAUUGUAAACAUGUUUUGUAACUUGUUGAUUUAGUUAUCAUGAUGCCGUAAAACUUCCUUAAAAAUGUCUCAUUUUGCGAAUCAGUUCUUGGCCUCGUAAUUAAUUGAUCAUGCCUCAAAGUCGAUAUGUUAAAUUUAUUAUGUGACAAAAUAUUUGGUUAUACAAUAUAUGAGACGUGAAUCUUAAUAACUUCAUUUGUUCCUUUGUUAUUUACAAAUUGUAUCUUAGUGGUGAUAUGAAUAUUUUGGUUGCUUAAUUUGCAUUUCCCCAAAUUUUAUGAAUAUUUUAUGUUAGAUGGUUAAUAUGAGAAAUAACUUUACUAUGUAUUUUUAUGUAAAAGUGUUUCGCGGAUUGUAUACAUGCUCAAAUAUAAUUGUAUAAAAGUUAAACUAUGGAAUAAAAUUAUUGGUUCUUUUCAUAUGCAUCUCUAGAUAAAACCGUAGCGUUAGCACGGGCAUUAUACUAGUCCUUAUAAAUACAUAACCUGGUAUUCUUGUGUUUCCAUGAGUUGAUGUAGUGUGUGUGUGCUAAUGGAAUUCCAUUCAACGUGUAUAUUUCCCAGUUGUCUGAAAUGGUAGCAGCCAUAAGCAGAGCACCUGUGGGAUACAAAUGGCCAUCAAGUGAGAAGGCAAGAACCACUCUUCUAGAUGCAGGCAAGAGAAACGUGGAGCAGGACUUAACGCCAAUUACAAAUACAUGGUCCAAAAACAUAUCUUUAUACUCUGAUAGUGUUUGGGAUGCCUAAAUGGUCCACAAGCUUGGGAUGUCUGGACAUCACCUGAAGCAAGAAGACAACAUUGGUCAAUCGAUAGUGGUUGCAAUGGCUGUCAGAGAGUAGCACACAAAGGCAAAAGAAAGAGUUGUGACAGGAACUGAUUAUGCAGCAAUCUGCAAGAAAGAGUUGUGACAGAACUGAUUAUGCAGCAACCUACACUUGAUGCGUUUGAUUAAAUGCAUGUUUUUUUACAAUUUAGUUCUGAAGUGCUUGUAGCCGAGUGAUGUAACUAGGACGACCUGCACAUCAUGCUCUAUAGUGAUAUUCUAUGAACUUAUUAUAUUUA